Cavia porcellus (domestic guinea pig) is the source of this 9976-nucleotide long non-coding RNA. RefSeq lists it as uncharacterized. The transcript has 5 exons. NCBI's taxonomy places the organism in Eukaryota, Metazoa, Chordata, Mammalia, Rodentia, Caviidae. The record is from RefSeq and is a predicted model, not a curated record.
UUCUGCAGGGAAAGGGCAGCUUACAAAGUCUGCAAGUGUAGGCUUUGGGCAGAGGAGCAAACCAAGAGACAGUGAUUAGUGUGGGGCUUGGAUUUCCCUGCUGCCUAGGUCCUCCCUUUGCACCCCUCUCCCAGGCUCAGAGGUGCAUAUUUGUGCCAGGAGGAACGAAGUUUAGCCCCAUUGUCAUGGGGGCAACAUCCAAUUGCAGUGAAGACACUGCAGUGAGGCCUGGAGAAAUCUGAGAAUGGAAACCUCUGGGGAGCUUUUGGUUAAACCCAUCUCCAAGGGGCAACAUGGCAUUGUAGUCAGUUCUCCAUUCCCAACAGAGAAAUAGGUUUAUAUUUACUGUUUUCUUUCUGGUCUGGAUCAUUGUGUGUUCCAAAUGCCCAGCAAAGUGUGUGCUUUGGGUUGCUUAGGGUUAUUGCUUGUCAAAUCCAUCCUGAAGGAGGCACUUAGGGCAAGUGCUGAGGCUCCCUCUUUGUUUUUUUGGUUGGGUCGUAUCUAGAAAAGGGAGGAAUCAUAGGUGAGACCUGGGAUUUAUCCAAAAUCCUAUGCUGAGACAGUCUCCUGGGGGGCUUUGGGUGGACACAGUACUCCGGGGCUGGAGACAGCAAGGGCCUUGUGUCAGGGCAGGGAAAUUCUACAGCUAGGUCUGGAGAGGUAGAGGUGAGGACAGCCUUCCCAAAUCUGAAUGGAAUAGGAGGCAUGCAACCUGGAGAUGCAGCAAAGUUUCCCACUGAAAAUUCAAAUGACCAUACUGAGGCUCUAGUCCAGUAAUGCUGCCAGUUAAAAUUUACAUCCAAGGCACAAAGAAUCUGGCCUUCGAGACUAGAAUCAGAGGAGGCAGCUGGAUGGAGAAAAAAAUUCGGGAGACUUCCAGGCUUUAUCCUGGAGAGAAUAGGUUGACCCAUUUGGCACCUUCAUUCUGGCUGACUUCUCAGCUUCCCCUCUGAGUGGUUUUUUACACCAGGUUUUGUACCUCCUCACAGGUACGUGCUGGGCCACCACCCCGAAUGCUUCCACAUGACUUAAGGCUGCCAGGCAGGAAGAGCAGCUUGUUUGCCUGAUGAUACCCUCCACACGUCAUGCCCCAGGAGUGUGACAAUCCUAAAGUCUAGACUUGCCCGUGGAUCUCCUGCUGAGGCAGAUGCCUGUCCUGGAGUGGGAGUUGGACUGGGAUACGGGGUGCGGUGGGGGAGGAGAUUGGGCAGCAGCCUCAGGAGGAGUUUCCUUGUGUCGCUGUGCUUAGAGAGGAAUGCAACUACUUACACGGCUUUCAGCAGAGCCCCUGGCCCAACCCUGACAUGCAUCUGUGGUCAGGAAGGGCUCUUUCCUCCCCUUCCCUCUCUCCACCUGCCCUCACCCUGCUUCCUUUGCUUCAGAUGUACAGAAUUUAACCUGAACCUUUAAUGGCUGCAGGGGGACAAGAAAGUAGAGUCUGAUCCAAACAGAAUUACUGCUUUUGGUUCAGCCACACUGCUCUCCGGCAGAAUUCUGAGUGCUAUACCAAUUCUAGGUCUUGUCAUUCUGUUUGCAGUUUAGACACAAGGUCUGGGCUUCCUUGCCUGGAUAUCUGGCUCACGGGGAGCUUGGAGGACUCUCAAGCUUGCCUCCUUCAUGGCAGGGGACAUAGUGAGGCCUGAAUUUUCUCUUUCAGCAGCACCUGAGAUGGCCAUUAAUCUUGCUGCACUUGAAAAAAGCACUCUCCAGGGAGAUUUAGGAUGGCAACUUCCAGUGCCUACCUUAAGGGUAUCAACUAGCCAGAUCCUUCUUCCUGUAGGCUGGCUAAGACCCAGGAUUCCCAGAGGAAAAGGGAGGCUGAGGAGAGGAACUAGCCUCAGGGAGAAGUUCCCAGAUGACAGUGACAAACUCCUUUCCAUCUUCCAUCCUGCCUUGCUUAGAGGGUCCUCUGGGAGAACGUCCAGGAGCAGUGCUCACAGCGCAGCUCCCAGCCUUGUGCUGUGGCCCUGCAGGCUGGAUCUGACCACUUAGGUGUGGAUCUUCAGACCUGUGGCCCUCCUGAUGCCGGACAGCUGGAUCCGAGGCACUCUGCUGGGGGCAGGGCUUUGCAGCAUCCUGAGAAAAAGAAAGAAGAAGAAAAGAAGAAGAAAAAACUACAACAAAAUUUCAAAACAUGUCAAUCAGGAGGCAACAAUGGUAAUACAUUGCGCACUGUCAUCCCCAAAUCAUUGACCCAGAGCUCAAGACAUCUGCCUUCAAUUGUCCGAACAAUACCAGGUGUCAAGGGUACUGGAGCAUCCCAGCAAGUGGUCAACUGGAGGUUAGCGAGUGGAGGAAGUGAGCUGAUUCUUAAGGAUGAAAAGAGAGCAUCCCAAGUUGGCACACGACCUUUGCCUCCCAGCACAUUGACCAGGAAGAAUUGCUCCAGGCUUCAGACUGCAGGAAGACAGAUUCUAGGGUGUGACCUGCAGCUGACAAUCAUUAAGAUGUUAUAUUUAAUGAAGCACCUGACUAAAGGCUUCAGAGAAUAGCUUCAAAGCUAGAUGCAAUGAACUCCAAGAUUGCAAAAUGUGUUGUCUGCGCUUUUGUCUGUAGCCUGUGACACUGCUUGCUAUAGCCAAAAUAGAACAACAACAACCACCAAAUCCUUCUUUCAAAGCAAAAGAAGAAUAUGGGAAAAGGGUUAGAAGGUUUGGAGUUUCUAUCUGUGCUCAUUUCUCUAACAUUGGCCAAGAUAUAAACCCCUCUCAUGUAAAACAGAAAACAUGGGGCUGGGGAUUUAGCUCAGCGGCAUAAGCGCCUGCCUUGCAAGCAGGCAGUUGUGAGUUCGAUCCCCGUUACCGAUAAAAACGAAAAAAGACCAAAAAAAAAAAAAAAACAGAAAACACACAGGCAGUCACCCUCUCUCAGUGGGUGAACGUGAGGACUAUGAUUAGAAACUGUUGCAAUAGAGGAGGAGCACUGGCCUGGCAAGCGCAAGGUCGUGGGUUCAAUCCCUGGUACCAGAACAAAACAAAACACCCAAAGAGAGAGAGGUGGAAAAAGGGAACAAAAAGGUAGAUAUCAUGAUUUGGGUGACAUACUCGGGCAUGGCCUCCACAGAAUAACGCCCUUCUUUCCCCUACAUCCUUUCCUAAUUCGAAUCAGAUUGAGACAGAUAAUCUGAUCCAAAUCCGAUACCCAGUUCUUUCACUGUAUAAAAAUGUCUUUCUCAGCCCGGCAUGGUGGUACACACCUGUAAUCUCAGCAUUCAGGAGGCUGAGACAGGAGGAUCACCAUGAGUUCGAGGCCAGCUUGAACUGCAUAACAAGAUCCUGUCUCAAAUAAAUAAAUAAAAUAAUUUUUGUCAAGCAUAGCUGUCCUACUAAAACAGUUAUAUUUUUGAGGAUCAUUUUGAUCUGGUCUUUUCUGUGGUUUUCACUUUAGCUGUCUGCUCAUUACGUUAGUAUAUCCACAAAUUCAGUGCAAUAAAUCCCAGUAGAGUUCAAACUCUGAGAAUAAGAAUCUUUGUCUAUCAUGUUCAUGGCUAUGUCUCUUUGCCGCAUAAUAGAUGCUUGACAUGUAUUUUUCAUAUGAGAAAAAAAUCACUGUUGAGCAAAAGAUAUGUUGACAGAAAUUGGUAAAGGGACAUCACACUUCUGAGCUGUGAUCAAGUCCUUGAAGCUCUGGGUUGUCCAUGGAGGUGUCUUCUGGGAUUUGGGGGUCUCCCCCUAGGUCAGCUCUGAUAGAGCUACAGACACAGAGUCCAUCCAGAGUAUGUGGCUGGAUUCUUCUUCUUCCUCCUUGUCUUCCUCCUCCUCUUCCUCCUCCUCCUCCUCUUCCUCCUCCUCCUCCCCCCUUCUUCUUCUUUUUCGUUUUCUUAUUCUUCUUCUUCUUUGUACUGGAAAUCAAACUCCGAACCUCUCAAAUAAAUGUUGGGAUUACAGGCAUGUGCUGCCAUGCCUAUGCUAUGUGGUUGGAUUCUUAAGACUACUUACAAGAAUCCAUAAAACCCAAAAAGCACAUCUAUUCAAAAGAAACACAGCCCUCCUUGCUAUAAGCACCAGAAUAAAACUUUUCCUCGUGAUCCUCACAGAGAGCAUGUUGCAUUAAUGACCUUGCCAUGUUGUCACCACGUCCCCAACGAGACAGUCAAUGACAGUUUCUGUGGCUAUUUUAGGACAGGUGGGUGCUGCUCCCUGGAGGUGCACUUGGAAAUCCUUAGCCUACCUGUGGAUGUCCCAAGGGUGGCUCCCUCCUUAACUAUUGCCUCCCUUCCUGGUUGACCAUGCGGAAUGCCCUCUGGGAGCAGUUGGAUGCCCUGGGGGAACUUCAUUCUUGAUUAGAAACAGCACUAGAAGUUAAAGCCACACUGACACACACUCUGUACUUUCUCCCUGGCCUACUUCUCACCCCCAAAGAUGUUACAUCUAAAAGAUCAUUCCACCUAGAGGGAACCCAAAGGGAUGGAAAAAUGACUUCUUAUUUUCUAAAAUAAGUGGAUGGAAAAAUGAAAACAAAACUAAACAACAACAAAAACCCAGCAACCACCAUCCAAUUUGAUGCUGGUGACCUUUAUUUCCUUGCAAAUUUAAACAUCAUUUGCCUAAUAAAAUGAAGAGUCCAUAUACAGGACUGGGUCUCACAAAAAUACAAUUUUUCCUUCUCUCUAACAUAUUUUUCUGGGGUGGUACAGUACUGGAAAAGUCACUACUGUAACUCAAAAGGAGCAUGUCUAAAAUUCCUGGGCCCAUGGAGAAUCUUGGGCCCAAGAAAGUAUUUUUCUUUGGAGCAGCAAAAUACAUUUCAGACUGAUCAUUUAGUCAUUUAAAGUCCCCAAAGCUAGAGCCAGAAUAAUUAGGGAUGCUGGCAGGGUAGCAGGGAAAAAACCUCUCUCCCAAGGCCUUGUUCUGUUCCUGUGAGACUGCCAGUUCUGCCCUUGGUCCAGUGAGAGACUGUGUAAUCCUGACACCCUGGGAGCAUAGCAGCCUUGAAAGAGUUUGCCUCCUUCAACCUGGCCUGGCAGGUCUUGAAAACAAAAAACCACUCGACUGUCCAUAAAACCAGCUUGGAGCACAUUCUGAUGGAUUUAAAGUUAUAAUUCACUCACCUACCUGACCUGGUGGCUACGAAGUGGCUCUUUACUCUUUUUUGUUUGUUUGUUUUUGAGACAGGAUCUCACAGUGUAGCCCAGGUUGGCUUUGAAUUAACUAUGCAGCUCAGGCUGACCUCGAACUUAUGGCAAUCCUUCUGCCUCAGGCUCCUGAGUGCUGGGAUUGAGGGCAUAUACCACCAUGCCUGGCUCCUUUCUACUCAUUUGUAUAAAUAGGAUUUCUGAGAUAUGUUUGGGUUUUAUGUUUUCCUUUCCUUCAUUGUAACAAAGAAGACAUAAAGGACGUGCAAGUUCCCAUGAGGUUGGUAGCACAAGCUGUGAACUGACUUCAGCAUCACUGCAAGUGUGGGUCACACUGACCAAAGAGCUUCCGGCCAGGGCGGGUGAGGGACCCUGGGGAUGGAUGCCUUUCCCUGUCCCAAUGGGGUAGGAAAGCUCUAAUUUCCCCUCUGGCCUCAUCAAAUAGACUUGCCUCUCUCCUACAUUAUGAUUGAAAGGAGUUAGGAAAAUUCUGUUCCCAGUUCUUUAUCUUUUAAAUGUCUUCAAUGUUAGGUCUUUGUUUCCUACUGAAAACUGUUUUAAGAGUACCCUGAGGGUUUUGCCUGAAACAUGACCAACUGUCUAGUAGGGACAAUGUCUAGGGGGAAGACAAAGCUCUUGGAGAAGAACCAUCAGGUGGGCUGGAAGACAGGAAGAACAGGGUGUUGAAAGGGAAGGAAAUAUUUUAUCUGCAGAUGGUCCUGACUCCCCAAGCCACUAGCAAGACAAAAACAAGGCUACUGUGCCCCUGCUGAGUUGAGGACAUAGCAGGAUGGGGAAGGAAGGAGAGGACAAAAAGGAAAGGAAGGAGAAAGGAAGCAGAAAGAAAGAAGAAGGUGUAGCUUCAGAGUUCAUCAGUGGGCCGUGCCUUGUGGGCCCAGUGACGGCUGCUGACUGCUGGUCCAUGACAGUGGUGAGGUGGCAUUCAUCUGGCCAGGGUCACAGGGUUCAAAUCCCUGUCCUGUAACAACAGCCUGCAUGACCUCUGGAGUUUUUUAUCCAUAAGAAGAUGAGGUUGGCCACAUAGUCCAAAGGUUGCUUCCAACUGGCACAGUGGCUGUGUUGUGAAAUGGGUGACUAUUUUAACCGGCCAGGACUCCACUACCCGGAGGCGGCCACGCCUUACCCGGAAGAUAUCCUAAUUAACCCAAGGGGGUGUAUACAUUCCCCAGCCCCAAUGCUGAGUCUCUGUUGGUAGAAAGUUCAUAGGAAAAGUGCUUGGAAAUUGUAGCUCAGCUCAAUUCCUUUUUUUAACCUUGAGAUAAGAAUGUCUUUGUUUGGGUCUCCAGCAAGUCUCAAGUUACAUAACUCACUUUUACUAAUACUCUCCCUGACUGUUUUACAUUCAGCUUUUUACUUGCCCUGGUUUGCUGGCUUUAAUUAAAUAGGUGGCCUUGAAUUUAUGCUAAUUUUUUUCUCUUUCUCUUCAGAUCUUGACAGAAUAAUAGCAUCAGUUUGUUUAGUAAACACAGAGACCAGUUCCACCAUUCAGGGCCUGACUAAUGGCCUGAGAGGACUCUGUGAAAGCUUUGGGCUUGGUUCAGGAAAAGCUUUCAAGAGAACAGCCCAAAGCCAUUUCCCUUAGCAAGCCAGGCAACUUUAUUCUGGUUUGUGGAGCAAACUCCUCCCCCACCCCAAAAUUCAGCAUCUAUUCUUCUAAAUGGGGGGUCCUGAGGAUGUGCCCAGAGUAGCUCCCAUUCCCUGCCCUAUGCCCUUUAAAACUGUUUUCAUGAUGUAUUAUAUUAUUUGAAAUGAUCAUAUUUACAUAUUUUUAUUGAUUAUCUCUGUCCAGCAACAAGCCCCCCCAGCACUGGAGUAUGUGAACUCCCUGAAGAGCAGGGGUUACUGUACCCACAGUUACGCUUUGCACAGGGUCAGGGCAUGAUCAUGCAGCCUAUGACCAAGUAUGGGCUUGGCAGUGGACUUGCUGGGACAGGGGCAUCUAUAAUAACAAACUUGUUUGGAGAUACAUUUGUCACUGGACAGGGUCCGAGCAAGUCCCCUAGGUCAGUGAUAGGGAACCUGGACUUGCCCCUCUCAUAGGGUGGACCGUACUGAUAUAGGAGAAACAGAGCUCCCACCCUGCUAGAUGUCAGAUGCACUGAGUUUGUGUUCCCAGAGAUCGAAGAGUGAAUUCUAAGGAAAAAUGGAGGGUUAGGGUAGGAAAGGUUUAUUGAGAGAGAGUUCCUGACAGGAGGGGGGCCCUAAAGUGGGUUGCAACAGAGGUCAUUUCUCUAUAGGCUGAAAUCAUGACAUGGGAGCAAUGUAGUUUAACUAAAAUCAACCAACAAAAUUACAAGUAUAAAAAAAAAAAAGAUUACAAGCGUAGUUGCUUAACUAAUAUCGAUCCAAUAGGGGAAGCGGGCAUAAGGCACAUAACAAGGUAUAAGCUGAUGUUAACCUGAUGUUAUCUAUGAUUUCUAAAACAGGAACAUUUGGGAAAGGAAUGGGUCUAGGUGUUCCAGUCACCCAUCUGGUUAUCUGAUGCAUAUUUGGGUUUAAUUGGCUAGGAAGAAACAAUUCAGAGUAGUCUUAAAUUUCCUUUCAUCCCUUAGGGAGGUAUGCUAGUCUGGCCAUUGUGACUUUAUCAAGAGGCCUUGCCGUCUCCCAGAUGUGCCGCAUCACUGUUUUGCUAUGUUCUUAUCUUCUGCAUUGACUGCCUUGUCUGACCACCUAUGUAUUAAUUUUUACCUAACUUAGCUGCCUAGAAUAACAUUGUUACAGGCAGCUGAGUUAGUUAGAAAUAUUAUAGGCAGCCAGACAGGGCUGGGCCCUCCAAGGAGCCAGGGCAGAUGUUCAGAUACCUUGCAACCUUGGGAGAGAGAAACAUCUCCGCUGUGGGCCAGAUCUCAAGACAAAAGGCAAAGCACCCACAUCCUCAGGAUUGAUAGUCCAAAUAGUUCUUUAUCACCCUAAGGAAGUGAGGAGUCACCAUUCCAACCCCCUCCAGGAAGAGUUACUGCUAACCCUCCCCUGAUUGUUCCUGAUACAAUUUUACUUGAGCAGUUAAUCUUAUUGGUUGACCACAGUUCUGUCCUACCUUAGGCUGACCUUGUAAAUUCCCAGUCUACUUUGGAUUCAUCUGAUCUUGUGGUUUUACUCUAUAAAAGUCCCCAGAAAAGACAGAGUCCUUAGCAGCCCUCUUGAGACCCUUCUGUUACUCAGACAGUAGUUUUCUUUCUCUUAAUAAAAAUAUCCUGCUCUUAACCUCUCUUGUUCCUAAAAUUCUCUGAUUUUAGAAAACAUGAUCUUGUGUGGGACACAUGGUAAGUUGGGAGUUUCAUUGCCCCUAUAUCAGUAUCACAGAAAAGGAGUUUGCAGGAUGCAUCAGGAGAAAGUAUUUAAAAAGUAAAGUCUUAAAAAAAUACAGUGUGGGUACUCAAAAGGUGAGAGGUGCAUAAUAGACUUGAGCUGGUGUGUUUUUGUGUGGUAGAAAUGGGUGGAAUUGGUGACUCUACAAAAAGUUUAGGCUUGGCCCACCCAUAGGCAGAAAAGUAAUAAUAGCUCAUCUUAUAAGAGAAAGGUACAGCCCGAUUUAAAUUAUUUUAUUUUUUAAAAGAUAGAUGGUAUUUUGCCUUGGAACAUUUUUUGAAACCUUUGAACUUGUUUCUCUUAAGGUAAGGUUUCUGCCUUUUAGAUGAUCAACUAAGCUAACUUAUUGACUUAGAGUACAGUAUCUUUUUUUUUUUUUUGUCCUUUUUUGUGAUAGGGUCUCGCUAUGCAGUUCAGGCUGGCCUUGAGUUUACUUUGUAGCCCAGGCUGGUCUCGAACUCUCAACGAUCCUCCCACCUCAGCCUCCCGAGUGCUGGGAUUACAGGCCUGAGUCACCAUGCCCAACUUUAGGGUAAGUAAAGGAUUUUGAUAUGAUUGACCUGGAAGAAAAACAGAACAAACAAGACUAGAAUACAUAUAUGGGUAACUUUGGAUAAGCAUGUGCUAAAGUCGAGGUCUUCUUAAAAGUACAAUUUUUAAAUUAUGACUUUCCUUAUCGUCUUACUAUGUAUCUGUAUUUCUUUUAUCCUACCUCAUGUUGGCAAAAUUAGAAGUUUUGUGAAAUCCAACUUUCUCUCCUAUGGGUGUUUGUAUUACCUUACAUAUUGAACUCGUGGUCAAAAUGAAGUGGUAAACCAGGAGGAGGGGGUUAGCAGAGUUUUAUUGACGACACAAAGAAUAGCUCCAGGGUUUCCGGAAGUGCCCUGAAUGGAUGGCCGAUGGCCAUGGCUUCUCAAUGCAGAGCUAUUUAUAGAAAAGCAGAGCAUCAGAAUUGCUCAGUUGUUCAGUGGUUGCCUGUCACAGGUGGCUCUGCAGAUUUAAAAUGACCUUUUGGAACUCAGGCUCUCUAAUCUUUACAGUUCUUCAGCAUGCAGGGUUUAAAGGAAACUGGGAUUUUAGAGGAAAAACUGGUUAUUUGGCAUUUUAAAUUCCUGAAAACCAGAGCUCAGUAGGGAUGGCUGCACAGGGAAGGGGCUCCAUUCCAUGUUGCCAGAAGAAGUGGGACCCCAGGUCCCACUUCACCUGGCCUAGUCAAGGGAACUGUACAAGGGCUCCUCUUCAAAAUUUCCUGUAUUAUGGUAAUGCUUUUAACUGUGCUCAUUUUGUAAGGGCCCUUCCCCUCGUUCCUGGAGUGUUUCUAUGUUAUGAUAAACAAUUCCUUUGUCUCAACAAAUCUGUUUAAGACUAGCCUGCGUGCUGGUAUAUAACUCAAUACAUGUAACCAAUUAGGUAAUGUUUUGUCUAUUGUUUUGUACCUCCCACUUCUAAAUGCUAUCUAAACUAAACUCUAAAUUAAGAGCUGUUGCCUUUGUGGAAUUAUCCCACAGGCAGUCCACUGGUGUGAAGAUUCAACAGUCUGCAGGGUAAAGAUUAAAUGUUGCCUCCUUAUCA